GCGUUAUAACGGGUAACGGAGAAUUAGGGUUCGAUUCCGGAGAGGGAGCCUGAGAAAUGGCUACCACUUCUAAGGAGGGCAGCAGGCGCGCAAAUUACCCAAUCCUAAUACGGGGAGGUAGUGACAAUAAAUAACAAUGCUGGUACUAUAAUGUAUUAGUAAUUGGAAUGAGAACAAUUUAAACCCCUUAACGAGUAACCAUCAGAGGGCAAGUCUGGUGCCAGCAGCCGCGGUAAUUCCAGCUCUGAUAGCGUAUAUUAAAGUUGUUGCAGUUAAAAAGCUCGUAGUUGCAUUUUAGGUUUUUCACUUUGAUGGUCGGUUAUGAUAAAUAAUCUUGUACUGUUAAAGUAAACCUUUCCUACUGGUUACUCGACUCUGUUCUUUAUUGGAUGGAGUAGUGUCGCAAGGCAUCAUUUAAUAUUAUAUUGCUUUUUAAUGUAGUAAUUGGGUUAAACUGGUUAUGAAAUUAAAGGGAGAACAGUAUGGUAUUAAAUGGGGUUCCAGUUCAUUUACUUUGAGUAAAUUAGAGUGUUCAAAGCAGCCUUUUGGGGCAUUGAAUAGAUUAGCAUGGGAUAAUAGAAUAGGAUUUUUGUCUAUUUAUUUGGUUUUUAGAUUUAAAAUAAUGGUUAAUAGGGAUAGUUGGGGGCACUUGUAUUCAAUAGUCAGAGGUGAAAUUCUAGGAUUUAUUGAAGACAAACUUCAGCGAAAGCAUUUGCCAAGCAUGUUUUCAUUAAUCAAGAACGAAAGUUAGGGGAUCGAAGACGAUUAGACACCGUCGUAGUCUUAACUAUAAACUAUGCCGACCAGGGAUAUGAGGGAUAUUUUAAUUUAUGUUAUUAUCAAAUAACAUAAUCUCUUGUGAACCUUGUGAGAAAUCAUAAGUUUUUGGGUUCUGGGGGGAGUAUGGUCGCAAGGCUGAAACUUAAAGGAAUUGACGGAGGGGCACCACCAGGAGUGGAGCCUGCGGCUUAAUUUGACCCAACACGGGAAAACUUACCAGGUCCAGACAUUUGAAGGAUUGACAGGUUGAUAGCCCUUUCUUGAUUAAAUGGGUGGUGGUGCAUGGCCGUUCUUAGUUGGUGGAGUGAUUUGUCUGGUUAAUUCCGAUAACGAACGAGACCUCUGCCAUUAAAUAGAGAUAGUUAUAUGAAAAUAUAGCUAGUUAUAAAUAUUUACUCUUCUUAAUGGGACUUUUGGUUUUUAAUCCAAAGGAAGUUAGAGGCAAUAACAGGUCUGUGAUGCCCUUAGAUGUUCUGGGCCGCACGCGCGCUACACUGAUAACAUCAAAAAGUAUAUUUAUUUAAUCCUUCUCUGGAAAGAGU
Molecule: ribosomal RNA, 1322 nt
Filed under: metagenome
Description: SSU rRNA
Rfam family: Eukaryotic small subunit ribosomal RNA
Source: RNAcentral